UCUUGGGGGAGGUCGAAAGUGCAAUAACGGCGCAGCCUUUGGGGGCUGGUACCUAGGGUUCUUUGUGGGGGGUGAUAAAUCAGAUUUUAAGUUUUUUUUAAGGUUUUAUUUUUUUUAAGUUUUUUUAAAGCGUGAAAUGGCACCGUUUGAGCCUCAUUACAAUGGCUUCAAAACGGUGCCGUAUCGUUCGACACUCGAUGACACGAUCCAAAUGCAGCGUGAUCCGCGUGUUUUGGUAGGGAGAGGGUUAUUUGCAACCAUGACCCCUCCACCUUGUAACAG
Molecule: long non-coding RNA, 282 nt
Filed under: Gossypium raimondii (Peruvian cotton)
Lineage: Eukaryota; Viridiplantae; Streptophyta; Magnoliopsida; Malvales; Malvaceae
Description: long non-coding RNA (GRAI_LNC004525)
Source: RNAcentral